Molecule: long non-coding RNA, 315 nt
Filed under: Panax ginseng (ginseng)
Lineage: Eukaryota; Viridiplantae; Streptophyta; Magnoliopsida; Apiales; Araliaceae
Description: long non-coding RNA (PGIN_LNC015566)
Source: RNAcentral
AACAAACCUGCAGUCCAUGGAUUUUUCAUUAGACAGCUGCUUGACCUCAUGUGGAGAUUUGAUACCUUUAGCUAGCAAGAUCGACAACGACACCUUUGAACUCAGAUGGUGCAAAGACCUGAAAGAGAUUCGAAAGAAAGAAGUUGAUGCCUGUGAUUUAGCAAUGAGUGUUGGAGUUCAGGGAGAAAAAUUGAAUGGCAACAGAAUCUACCCGGGAGAAGAAUUUAGAAACACCAAAAGAAGAGACUCAGUUAAACCCCAGAAUGAGGAAAUAGCACAAGGAUUUCAGCUCCAUGAAAAUAAUGAUCCUGCAUC